AGGUAGAGAAUUGGAAGAGGAAGGCCACAGAGACCUGCUCUUCCAGUAACCAGCUCCUGGCUGCAGAGGAACAACGGAGUACUGCUGCCAAUAUACUAAGACUUAUACAUGACCCCCUGACCAGCCAUAUGGAGAUGGUCACAGAGGUGGUGGUCCCCACUGUGUGUACCCUGUGUAUCCUCCUAUCUGCGGUCUUCCUCAUGUUCCUGCUGCGGAGACACAACUAGAUAUACUACUA
Oncorhynchus gorbuscha (pink salmon) is the source of this 238-nucleotide long non-coding RNA. RefSeq lists it as uncharacterized. The record is from RefSeq and is a predicted model, not a curated record. Lineage: Eukaryota; Metazoa; Chordata; Actinopteri; Salmoniformes; Salmonidae. The transcript is spliced from 3 exons.